UUUCAAAUCAGUGAAAUUAAUCUCCCCGUGAAGAAGCGGGGAUACUCAUAUAAGACGAGAAGACCCCAUGGAGCUUCAAACCCAACUACACCCCUAGCUCUUAUAGCCCCACAACCCCCCUAGGCACCGUGUGCUUGGUUUUAGGUUGGGGCGACCGCGGAGUACAAUAAAACCUCCACAAUGAAUGGGAACACCCCCUUAUCUGAGGGCCACACCCCCUAAGAAUUAGAACACUAACAUAAAAUGAUCCAUUACUUGAUCAAUGAACCAAGUUACCCUGGGGAUAACAGCGCAAUCCAUUUCAAGAGCCCCUAUCGACAAAUGGGUUUACGACCUCGAUGUUGGAUCAGGGUACCCCAGUGGUGCAGCAGCUACUAACGGUUCG
RNAcentral lists this ribosomal RNA (385 nucleotides) under Mantidactylus melanopleura. RNAcentral describes it as "partial 16S ribosomal RNA". It matches the Rfam family "Bacterial large subunit ribosomal RNA", at positions 2026 to 2575 of the family's 2925-position model. Lineage: Eukaryota; Metazoa; Chordata; Amphibia; Anura; Mantellidae. The record is from RNAcentral.